GUAGUCGUGGCCGAGUGUUUAAGAUGAUGGACUUGAAAUCCAUUGGGGUCUCCGCGCACAGGUUCGAAUCCAGCCGACUACG
This 82-nucleotide transfer RNA is filed under the name Danio rerio (zebrafish). It matches the Rfam family "tRNA". From Rfam's summary of the family: Transfer RNA (tRNA) molecules are approximately 80 nucleotides in length. Their secondary structure includes four short double-helical elements and three loops (D, anti-codon, and T loops). Lineage: Eukaryota; Metazoa; Chordata; Actinopteri; Cypriniformes; Danionidae. The record is from Rfam by way of RNAcentral.